CCAUUUUUCAUUCUAACAUUUCUAAUAUACAAAAAUUCAAGGAGAUUACAACAAAUUUGCCAGAUCUAUACAACACUCGAAGUCACUAACAAUUGGACAUCAAAAGUUUCAUCAAUUGAAGGCUCAGAUUGAAGAACCCUUUGUAUUCAACACCAAACACCCAUAUUCACCCAAGAAUCCACUUGAACGCACAGUCUCUUCUAUCGACUAGAAGGACGCAACGUUACCACUAAUCUUAGUCUCCUCUUUCACUAAUUUCAUCAAGAAACACUUACUCUCUAAAUAGAUUAAAGAGAAAAACUCAAUAUCAACACGGAAGUUGAAGACGAAAGAGAAAGGACCGAACUCUCCAUAAACCCUCGAAAAAAAAGGAAGAAUGAAAAGUCUCAGGCCGUUGAGAUUCAUCAUAGAAUAUAUACAUCGAGAUUAAAGCAAUAAAUCAUCCAACGGUCCAGAGAAACCUGCGCUUUUGACAUAAGGCAAAACAACCAAAGUCGCACUUGCCAAAUCCGUUCUCAACAGGAUCAGUUAGAUGGGCUUGGGUUCAUUCGGGUUUCUUCAGGUUUUACCAUUUGGGUCAAGAUAUCAAAACAUGGGCUAAGCCUGUCUAAUCAUAUAUUGGGCCAGAAUUGGCAUCAAAACCCAACAGAUCUCCACUUUGAUGCCAGUGGACAUACAAAAACAGAGAACUACAGUUUAUAUAUCUUUCUUUCCAUCCAAGAUUUUAGCUUCUAGUCAUUCCAACUGGCACCCGGUUUAAUGCCUGCACUUAACCAAAACAUUAACCAACAUCAAUGUUCAAAGGAGGUACCUUAGUACCCAUGUCAGC
This 829-nucleotide long non-coding RNA is filed under the name Olea europaea subsp. europaea. Lineage: Eukaryota; Viridiplantae; Streptophyta; Magnoliopsida; Lamiales; Oleaceae. The record is from RNAcentral.